Molecule: long non-coding RNA, 337 nt
Organism: Helianthus annuus (common sunflower)
Lineage: Eukaryota; Viridiplantae; Streptophyta; Magnoliopsida; Asterales; Asteraceae
Exons: 3
Source: RefSeq, a predicted model, not a curated record
CCCGAAGCCACCGGAGUUCGUUGGCGCAAACCCGCAACAUACUGGAGAAGAUCCUGUCGUGUCAGUCGACGCCAGAUCCAAACGGAGUCUUGCCGGGGAUACGUCGGCCUCGAGCCGCUACGCGUCGGAUAAUCACUCUUGUGCAUUUGAAUUCUCCAUCCUUACUCGUGCGUUAUUACAAGAAAUCGCAACGCAACCACUGUUGAUAGAUGAAGGAUUCAAGAAUCAAGUUAGGGUGGAUUAGAAACACACCUAGGAAUAAACUAUGUUGGAAUCUUGUUUUGUUUAUUUGAACAAUGUAUAGCAUUCUAGCAUUUAUGAAAUUGAAUUUAAAUUA